This 460-nucleotide ribosomal RNA is filed under the name uncultured bacterium. RNAcentral's name for it is "partial 16S ribosomal RNA". It matches the Rfam family "Bacterial small subunit ribosomal RNA", at positions 338 to 795 of the family's 1533-position model. The record is from RNAcentral.
CCUACGGGUGGCAGCAGUGAGGAAUAUUGGUCAAUGGUCGGGAGCCUGAACCAGCCAAGCAGCGUGAAGGAUGACUGUACUGCGUAUCGUAAACCUCUUUUGUCAGGGAAUAAAGUCUGGCACGCGUCCCCUUUUGUGUGUACUUUAUGAAUAAGCAUCGGCUAACUCCGUGCCAGCAGCCGCGGUAAUACGGAGGAUCCGAGCGUUAUCCGGAUUUAUUGGGUUUAAAGGGUGCGUGGACGGUAGGUUAGGUCAGUGUUGAAAGCUGGCGGCUCAACCGGAGAAGUGCCAGUUAUACUGGCUGGCUGGAGUGCAGAUGAGGUAGGAGGAAUGUGUGGUGUAGCGGUGAAAUGCAUAGAUAUCACAAAGAACACCGAUUGCGAAGGCAGCUCACGAAUCUGCGAUUGACACUGAUGCACGAAAGCGUGGGUAUCAAACAGGAUUAGAUACCCUAGUAGUC